GCUUGCUAUUUUUAUGAAGAGCGGCGAACGGGUGAGUAACGCGUGGGAAAUCUGCCGAGUAGCGGGGGACAACGUUUGGAAACGAACGCUAAUACCGCAUAACAAUGAGAAUCGCAUGAUUCUUAUUUAAAAGAAGCAAUUGCUUCACUACUUGAUGAUCCCGCGUUGUAUUAGCUAGUUGGUAGUGUAAAGGACUACCAAGGCGAUGAUACAUAGCCGACCUGAGAGGGUGAUCGGCCACACUGGGACUGAGACACGGCCCAGACUCCUACGGGAGGCAGCAGUAGGGAAUCUUCGGCAAUGGGGGCAACCCUGACCGAGCAACGCCGCGUGAGUGAAGAAGGUUUUCGGAUCGUAAAACUCUGUUGUUAGAGAAGAACGUUAAGUAGAGUGGAAAAUUACUUAAGUGACGGUAUCUAACCAGAAAGGGACGGCUAACUACGUGCCAGCAGCCGCGGUAAUACGUAGGUCCCAAGCGUUGUCCGGAUUUAUUGGGCGUAAAGCGAGCGCAGGUGGUUUCUUAAGUCUGAUGUAAAAGGCAGUGGCUCAACCAUUGUGUGCAUUGGAAACUGGGAGACUUGAGUGCAGGAGAGGAGAGUGGAAUUCCAUGGUA
RNAcentral lists this ribosomal RNA (613 nucleotides) under Lactococcus garvieae. RNAcentral's name for it is "bacterial SSU rRNA". It matches the Rfam family "Bacterial small subunit ribosomal RNA", at positions 66 to 676 of the family's 1533-position model. The record is from RNAcentral. Lineage: Bacteria; Bacillati; Bacillota; Bacilli; Lactobacillales; Streptococcaceae.